Molecule: long non-coding RNA, 763 nt
Filed under: Manacus vitellinus (golden-collared manakin)
Lineage: Eukaryota; Metazoa; Chordata; Aves; Passeriformes; Pipridae
Description: lncRNA (ENSMVIG00005006238.1)
Source: RNAcentral
ACAGCUUCCUUAUUCAACAGGAUGGUGUGUCGUAUGGUUACAUUACAUCUGGUCAAAAGCCUAAAGAUGAUUUAGCUUUUAACUAACUUUUUUUACUUUUAAUUGAGUUUGUUAGGCGUAAAUAGCUGAAUGAUACAGCAUUUGUUUAACUCAGUAUAUUCACAGCUUAAUUAAAUAAUUCACAUGCCAGUCUCUAAUCGUGGCGUGAAAAGACCAAAAACCAAAUUAAAUAAUCAUAGCUCCCUGAGCCAAUUGCUUGGAAAAGAGAAGCAGGGUCUGUUGAGACAUAUGGCAAACAAUCUUUGCUGCAAACCAGCAAGCUAAAACACACCACUACUACCAUGUGGUAAGAGUAUAUAUCCUUUUGCACAAUAUAUUUUCCAAACACACUCUCGCCAGGAGCAACAGGUGUGUAACUGAACUUAGGUUUGAACAGAUAAUUUGAGUACUAUGAAUUGGAAGGAAAGGGAGGGAGCUGGAAAAGGGGAUGAAAUAUUGUGAAUUAAAAUUGCAAUUUCCCUUACAGCUUUUUUAAUUGUUAACUUAUAAGUUGGGAAUUUGUGAAAUGUGACAAAUAAGGAAGUAAUUGAGAAUGCCUGCUGCACUGAGAUCUGUCUCUGCCAACAUAUGCGUUCUCUGCUGUGGUGCUGUGGUAAUCCUGGUGUGGCACAGGCAGGACGAAGGAGGUGUGCAGGGGAAUAUCCACUGGAGCCAGGACGGCAGGGCCUUGAAAAUUCCAUAUGAGGAUCUCAGAGUAGAGUAA